Molecule: long non-coding RNA, 1354 nt
Filed under: Olea europaea subsp. europaea
Lineage: Eukaryota; Viridiplantae; Streptophyta; Magnoliopsida; Lamiales; Oleaceae
Source: RNAcentral
GCUGAGGGCAGUAAAGUAGAAUUUCAAACGCUUGAUAGGUACUUUAGGGUCAGCUUCAUUUUUUAGAGAUCAGGUUUGGGAUUACAGGAAUAUAUAGACGUUGACAUGUUAGGAAAUACACACACACACACACACACUUUGGAUAGUACGACAAUUAGUUGGGUAUUUAAGUUGCAGAAGAUAGUUGCUCUUUCCACUACUAAGAAUGAGUAUGUUACUGUAUCUAAAGCUAGCAAAGCGAUGAUAGAUCUGUAGUCUUUUUUGGAUUGGGUAACAAGUAUAGGAAUAGUAUGUUGCAUGGUGACAAUCAAAGCGUUAUUGACUUAGCUAAGAUUCCUAUUUAUCAUGCAAGGACAAAGCAUCGACAUGUUCGUUAUUAUUUCCACAUAUCGGCUUUGAAGGAUGGAAUCUUAACACUAGAGAAGAUUCAAGAGAGUCAAAAUCUAGCUGAAAUGUUGACAAAGACUAUUUCGAUUGAGUUGAACUUUUAUUUUGAGGAAUGAGGAGUUGUUGCCGUUGCAGAAGAAUUAUUGAUGGUGAAUUAGUCUCCAAAUAAUAGAUUGUUAAUUUUUGUAGCCUAAUUGUUGUUUAACCCGAAUUAUUGCCACUUUGUAGAGUUAGUCACGAAUACACCUCAGCAGAGAGGUUGCCGUGGGGGUUGGAGGGGUUAAAUAACCCUCGACAAGAAUUUUAAAUUAGGACUAAUUAGGAAUUUAUAUUUUUGUAAAAUUAUAUGAAGGAAUAAGAGUCCUUGUAAAUUUUGGUUUUACCCUAAUUUAUCUUAUAAAUAGAGAGCAAUCUCUAGUCUUUAUGUAUUAUCAUCGAAUAGAGAGAAAUAGAGGUUAGAAGAGAUAUGAUUGACAUUUUCUUUGGUAAACCUUUUUCAUCAUAGUGAAUUACUGCUGUGGCGAGAGACAACGUGGUCUCACAUUGAAACGAACAUCUAUAAAUCUUACCUAUUCUUGAUUAUUUACUUUCUUUCUUUAAAUUGAUUGCUCUUGGUGGGUUAGAAUUAAGGUUUAUAAGUCUCAACUCAAUGCUCAACGCAAAGAAAAUAGAAUUAAACUACUUCACCUGAAUUUUUUUAACAUAAUGGUUGACAUCCUCUCACAGCACGUGAGCCUCAUGUGAAUAAAAAAGUUCAAAAAAGAAAUGGGCCCCCCGCCAAUGUGAGUGUCGAUCAUCCAUUAUGUCAAAAAAAUUCUGUCACCAUAGCAUUGUUGAAGAAAAUACAGAAGAUUUGGUAACUGGAAGGCAAUUACCCCUUUCAACUUCUUUCAAAAUUUAUAUAUAUAUAUAUAGAAAGAAUGGUAGAAACCACAGGACCUUCCAAAAAAUCAUCACGAUAAAUGAG